GUUCCGAAAGCUAUAAGCUGCCUAUUUUGUAAAUAGGAAGAAGUUAAUUUAUCCUAACUCAGAACU
RNAcentral lists this transfer RNA (66 nucleotides) under Ophioplinthus brevirima. Its description in RNAcentral is "tRNA-Thr". The record is from RNAcentral. Lineage: Eukaryota; Metazoa; Echinodermata; Ophiuroidea; Amphilepidida; Ophiuridae.